CUAAUAUUAGCUUAAAUGAAAACAUUUAUGGGAAUGUACAAUUUUCUAUUCCCUUGCAACUGCCUAUAGAGGCAGAAAAGGCAAUUUCAAGAUCUCUGCUGAACUGAAGCUCUUGCUGCCCGACUGUUAGGCAGUUCACUAAUUCAUCUAAAUCACAUAUGCAGAAGGGUGAGUAAGCAAUAAACCAUUUCAAAUCAAUCCAGCUAUCAGUAGGUAAAAGAGCUAUAAUGAACAACAUGUUCACAGAGCACAUUUCCUACUCAGUCUAGUCAUUUGCAGGAUUCAGGCCACAGAUGUCACAGGUUGUCUGAGAAGCAUCAGAUGCAAGGCGAUGACUGCAUGUGGAAGGAGAAUUUGAGGAUAAUUUAUGAUGAUGGAUGCUUGCUAUCCAUGCUCACUUCAUUUGCUAUUCAAUCUGGCUUGCACUCAUGAGACUACUCUGCUUUCCCUCCUCCUUGUUGAUGGCCAUUUGCUCUGAAGUUUGUAGCUUCCAGGAAAUGGUGAAAAGGAUAGUUCUGAAUAGAGGAUUCACUCAGGUUGCUUAGUGCAACUUGAGAAGCGUGAGCAGCAAGAUGUUACGAUCACACAGCGCAGUGGUGAGCAUCUCUUCAGACUGAAGCGGAGUACUUUGGAGGCAGCAGCCCUGGUCUGGUCCUCUGUACGCUGGGCACUUCGCGUGGUCAAAGCCCUCCUCAAGCCAGGCCUUUUAAUACCUACUCAGCCACGCUUGCCGACCUCCAAGCGUUUUGAGCAGAAGUUUGCUCAAGAAUCUCUCUGUGUUUCUCUGGUUAUUUAUGUCAUAUGCAUGAGCAAAACUAUCACCUCUCUUCUGUGUUACCCACCCGAGGACUCGCACUACCCGCACCGAUGGGAGAUUUUAAUAUCUCUGUGGGGCGGACUGACAGAAGAAUCUGUCCUCUCUUUCUGAGUUAGGACCACAUCUGACAAUGUCUGACUCACAUGAGAAACUUACUCUGAGAUGUUUCUGUAAUGUAGAACAUCAUUGCUAUUUUCCUGCUUUCAAUGUUAUUAUUGAAUUAGGUUCUGCUGAUUUUAAAAAGUUUAGUUAAAUCUUUUAUUAAACCUGAAUGUAGACUGAUUUGAAAUUGAAUAAUUUGUCACUAUAAUUUCCAAGACACCUGUAAGACCCACAAAGCAGAUAUAUUCUAUAUUUCUAUAUUCUGUAAGAAGAAGAUAACUAGGGUGAUGCUCAAUUUUUAUUUUGUACUCAUGCAUACACCAUCACUUUGUAUUUACUAUGGGCCUUUAUGAACAGACAGUUACUCCCUUUCUUCUAUGGACCA
Molecule: long non-coding RNA, 1304 nt
Filed under: Apteryx owenii (little spotted kiwi)
Lineage: Eukaryota; Metazoa; Chordata; Aves; Apterygiformes; Apterygidae
Description: lncRNA (ENSAOWG00000009446.1)
Source: RNAcentral